CCUACGGGUGGCAUCAGUGGGGAAUAUUGCACAAUGGGGGAAACCCUGAUGCAGCGACGCCGCGUGAGUGCAGACGUAUUUCGGUAUUUAAAGCUCUUUCAGCAGGGGAGACAAGUACGGUACCUAACCAAUAAGCCACGGCUAACUACGUGCCAGCAGCCGCGGUAAUACGGCGGGGGCAAGCGUUAUCCGGCUUUACUGGGUGUAAAGGGAGCGUAGACGGCAGGGCAAGUCUGUAGUGAAAGGCGGGGGCUCAACCCCCGGACUGCUGUGGAAACUGGCAGGCUGGAGUGCAGGAGAGGUAAGUGGAAUUCCUGGUGUAGCGGUGAAAUGCGUAGAUAUCAGGAGGAACACCAGUGGCGAAGGCGGCUUACUGGACUGUAACUGACGUUGAGGCUCGAAAGUGUGGGGAGCAAACAGGAUUAGAUACCCCAGUAGUC
This 440-nucleotide ribosomal RNA is filed under the name uncultured bacterium. RNAcentral describes it as "partial 16S ribosomal RNA". It matches the Rfam family "Bacterial small subunit ribosomal RNA", at positions 338 to 795 of the family's 1533-position model. The record is from RNAcentral.